Molecule: microRNA precursor, 268 nt
Filed under: Oryza sativa (Asian cultivated rice)
Lineage: Eukaryota; Viridiplantae; Streptophyta; Magnoliopsida; Poales; Poaceae
Description: miR1437b stem-loop (osa-MIR1437b)
Source: miRBase by way of RNAcentral
CGGAGGAAGGAGGCCGGCGCACAGAGGACGAGAGGUGACGGCGCGUGGGGAGGGAGGAAACAGUGCCUAGUGCGGCGCCGGAGCUCGCCAGCACGCGGAAGGAGGUAGCGGCGGUGGCGGAGCGCCGGCAAGCUCUCCGCGCCCUGGCCGCCGUCCUCCUCACCUCACUCCUGCGUGCUGGCGAGCUCCGGUGCCGCACUAGGCACCGUUCCCUCCCUCCCCGCGCGCCAUCACCGCUCGUCCUCUGUGCGCCGGCCUCCUUCCUCCG